UGAAAGGGAGAAUUUGGACCAUGAUUUCAAGACUUGCUGCUAUCGAAUACAGAUCGCUCCGUGAUCAAUUUGAUCGAUUAUUAACGUUUACUAAUACCUAGAGUUGGAUUACAAAAGUAAUUUGAAGUGUUUUGUCAAAGUUUAUAGGCAACUUUUUUAAUUUAAAAAAAUGACGUUGCGUUUUUGAAAGCAGUUUUUUCCUGAUCAGACAGGCUUCAUAAAUGGACAUUUUGGGUAUACAUGGACGGAUUUAAUCAAAAAAAUACCCAAUUGUGAUGUUUAUGGGACAUAUAGGAGUGCCAACAAAGAAGCUCGUCAAAGAGUUCCCAGGUGUCUUGAAAGCACAUAAAUCCAGAGAAUGACAGACUUUGAUGACAAAGGAAGGACCGCCCCGCCACCUUCCUGUUCAAGUGAGUGCAGCACAACAAGGACAAUGACCCAACACACCUCCAGGCUGUGUAAGGGCUAUUUUACCAAGAAGGAGAGUGAUGGACUGCUGCAUCAGAUGACCUGGCCUCCACAAUACCCCGACCAGAAAUCAAAUUGAGAUGGUUUGGGAAGAGUCAGAAUGCAGAGUGAAGGAAAUGCAGCCAACAAGUGCUCAGCAUAUGUGGGACCUCCUUCGAGAGUGUUGGAAAAGCAUUCCAGCUGAAGCUGGUUGAGAGAAUGCCUAGAGUGUGGAAAGCUGUCAUCAAGGCAAAGGGUUUCUAGUGCCUUCAACAACAUCCAGCCACAUCUUCGAGCCCGGAAUCUCCAGGUCAUGCAGUUACAUCCUCCCGACAUCGCCUGCGUCACGGACUAACUCACUGACGGGCCAUAGUGGGUCAGACUACAGAACCACUUGGGCUCAGACACCAUCAUCACUAACACAGGUUCCCCACAAGGGACGGUUUUGUCACCAUUCCUCUUCACCCUCUACACAGCAGACUGCCGGCAAGCCCAAGCCUCCUGACACCUACGAAAGUUUUCAGACGAUUUCAGCCAUUAUAUGCUGCAUCACGAAGAAUGACGAUCACCUAUACAGGGGGGGGGGGGAUGUCUUCAUUUGUGGCAUGGUGCAGUCAAAACAACCUGGAGCUGAAGGCAUCAAAAACAAAAGAGCUGGAGAUAGACUUGAGAAGGAAGAAGGAGAGCGCUUUUCCUCUGAUCGGGGUCACCGUGGAAAUGGUAGACUCAUAAAAAU
Long non-coding RNA from Oncorhynchus tshawytscha (Chinook salmon), 1183 nucleotides. The record is from Ensembl. NCBI's taxonomy places the organism in Eukaryota, Metazoa, Chordata, Actinopteri, Salmoniformes, Salmonidae.